GAAGAACCUGGGGAAUUUGAC
Molecule: unclassified non-coding RNA, 21 nt
Filed under: Mus musculus (house mouse)
Lineage: Eukaryota; Metazoa; Chordata; Mammalia; Rodentia; Muridae
Description: oocyte_clustered_small_RNA12798
Source: RNAcentral